AGAGUUUGAUCAUGGCUCAGAUUGAACGCUGGCGGCAGGCCUAACACAUGCAAGUCGAGCGGAAACGAGUUAUCUGAACCUUCGGGGAACGAUAACGGCGUCGAGCGGCGGACGGGUGAGUAAUGCCUAGGAAAUUGCCCUGAUGUGGGGGAUAACCAUUGGAAACGAUGGCUAAUACCGCAUGAUGCCUACGGGCCAAAGAGGGGGACCUUCGGGCCUCUCGCGUCAGGAUAUGCCUAGGUGGGAUUAGCUAGUUGGUGAGGUAAGGGCUCACCAAGGCGACGAUCCCUAGCUGGUCUGAGAGGAUGAUCAGCCACACUGGAACUGAGACACGGUCCAGACUCCUACGGGAGGCAGCAGUGGGGAAUAUUGCACAAUGGGCGCAAGCCUGAUGCAGCCAUGCCGCGUGUGUGAAGAAGGCCUUCGGGUUGUAAAGCACUUUCAGUCGUGAGGAAGGUAGUGUAGUUAAUAGCUGCAUUAUUUGACGUUAGCGACAGAAGAAGCACCGGCUAACUCCGUGCCAGCAGCCGCGGUAAUACGGAGGGUGCGAGCGUUAAUCGGAAUUACUGGGCGUAAAGCGCAUGCAGGUGGUUUGUUAAGUCAGAUGUGAAAGCCCGGGGCUCAACCUCGGAAUAGCAUUUGAAACUGGCAGACUAGAGUACUGUAGAGGGGGGUAGAAUUUCAGGUGUAGCGGUGAAAUGCGUAGAGAUCUGAAGGAAUACCGGUGGCGAAGGCGGCCCCCUGGACAGAUACUGACACUCAGAUGCGAAAGCGUGGGGAGCAAACAGGAUUAGAUACCCUGGUAGUCCACGCCGUAAACGAUGUCUACUUGGAGGUUGUGGCCUUGAGCCGUGGCUUUCGGAGCUAACGCGUUAAGUAGACCGCCUGGGGAGUACGGUCGCAAGAUUAAAACUCAAAUGAAUUGACGGGGGCCCGCACAAGCGGUGGAGCAUGUGGUUUAAUUCGAUGCAACGCGAAGAACCUUACCUACUCUUGACAUCCAGAGAACUUUCCAGAGAUGGAUUGGUGCCUUCGGGAACUCUGAGACAGGUGCUGCAUGGCUGUCGUCAGCUCGUGUUGUGAAAUGUUGGGUUAAGUCCCGCAACGAGCGCAACCCUUAUCCUUGUUUGCCAGCGAGUAAUGUCGGGAACUCCAGGGAGACUGCCGGUGAUAAACCGGAGGAAGGUGGGGACGACGUCAAGUCAUCAUGGCCCUUACGAGUAGGGCUACACACGUGCUACAAUGGCGCAUACAGAGGGCAGCCAACUUGCGAAAGUGAGCGAAUCCCAAAAAGUGCGUCGUAGUCCGGAUUGGAGUCUGCAACUCGACUCCAUGAAGUCGGAAUCGCUAGUAAUCGUGGAUCAGAAUGCCACGGUGAAUACGUUCCCGGGCCUUGUACACACCGCCCGUCACACCAUGGGAGUGGGCUGCAAAAGAAGUAGGUAGUUUAACCUUCGGGGGGACGCUUACCACUUUGUGGUUCAUGACUGGGGUGAAGUCGUAACAAGGUAGCGCUAGGGGAACCUGGCGCUG
RNAcentral lists this ribosomal RNA (1533 nucleotides) under Vibrio alginolyticus. RNAcentral describes it as "bacterial SSU rRNA". It matches the Rfam family "Bacterial small subunit ribosomal RNA". RNAcentral also lists the same sequence under 1 other name. The record is from RNAcentral. Lineage: Bacteria; Pseudomonadati; Pseudomonadota; Gammaproteobacteria; Vibrionales; Vibrionaceae.